This 520-nucleotide ribosomal RNA is filed under the name uncultured bacterium. RNAcentral's name for it is "bacterial SSU rRNA". It matches the Rfam family "Bacterial small subunit ribosomal RNA", at positions 24 to 518 of the family's 1533-position model. The record is from RNAcentral.
UCAGGACGAACGCUGGCGGCGUGCCUAAUACAUGCAAGUCGAACGGUCUUUCUAUGGAAGCUUGCUCCACUGAAAAGAUAGUGGCGAACGGGUGAGUAACACGUGGGUAACCUGCCCAUAAGAGGGGGAUAACAUCCGGAAACGGGUGCUAAUACCGCAUAGUUUUCUUGAUCGCAUGAUCGGGAAAGGAAAGACGGCCUUUGUGCUGUCGCUUAUGGAUGGACCCGCGGCGUAUUAGUUAGUUGGUGAGGUAACGGCUCACCAAGACGAUGAUACGUAGCCGACCUGAGAGGGUGAUCGGCCACAUUGGGACUGAGACACGGCCCAAACUCCUACGGGAGGCAGCAGUAGGGAAUCUUCCGCAAUGGACGAAAGUCUGACGGAGCAACGCCGCGUGAGUGAAAGAAGGUUUUCGGAUCGUAAAACUCUGUUGUCAGAGAAGAACAAGUUGGAGAGUAACUGCUCCAGCCUUGACGGUAUCUGACCAGAAAGCCACGGCUAACUACGUGCCAGCCGCCGC